AGAUACAUUGUCAGCUUCUCCUUUAUUAUGAAUGUCCUUUCCUUCCUUUUUCUAUUUUCCCCCCUCUAAAAGAAUCGAGUAUAUUGAAUGGAGAUGUAUGUGCAACGUGAAAGUGAGAAUUCAGAAUAUACAGCAGUCGAAAAUAUUGCAAUGGCAAAUUCAGUCUCAGAGCCUCGUGCGACCAAGUUAAUGAAUUAUUUAGAGCGACUGUGAAUCUCUUCAUUAAGAAGGGUUAUUAAGCCUCGAUCAACUGUUGGCUUAGUGUUGUUAAGAAUUCGACUCAGUGAGCAUAAUUCUUCUGGGCUUGCCCUCUUGAAUAAGCCUUGGAGUAUCGUAUCAACUCCCUCAGGUAGGAGAUUACUCCCUGGAGUUCCUUCACUAUUAUGUUCCUCAGAUGCUCCCUGGAUGUAGCCUCCACUUUCUUCGGGUUGAGAAGGUUGUGGAAUCUG
Molecule: unclassified non-coding RNA, 449 nt
Filed under: Hevea brasiliensis (rubber tree)
Lineage: Eukaryota; Viridiplantae; Streptophyta; Magnoliopsida; Malpighiales; Euphorbiaceae
Source: RNAcentral